Molecule: ribosomal RNA, 2441 nt
Filed under: activated sludge metagenome
Description: bacterial LSU rRNA
Rfam family: Bacterial large subunit ribosomal RNA
Source: RNAcentral
AGGGUGCAUGGUGGAUGCCUAGGCGUCGAGAGGCGAAGAAGGACGUGGUAGGCUGCGAUAAGCCCCGGGGAGCUGUCAAACGAGCAUUGAUCCGGGGAUUUCCGAAUGGGGCAACCCGGCGUCACUCCGCAAGGAGAUGGCGUCAUCGGCGGGUGAAUGCAUAGCCCGUCGAAGCGAACCCAGGGAACUGAAACAUCUAAGUACCUGCAGGAGAAGAAAUCAACCGAGAUUCCGUCAGUAGCGGCGAGCGAACGCGGACAUAGCCCAAACCGGCCUUCGGGUCGGGGUUGCGGGAGCCGAGAGCAGUUACAAAGGUGUCGCUAACAGAAGUGCCUGGAAAGGCACACCACAGAGGGUGACAGUCCCGUAUGUGAAAGCGAUCGCCCUGCGUUACCAUCGGCUUACCAGAGUAGCAUGGAGCUCGUGGAACUCCGUGUGAAGCUGGGGGGCCCACCCUCCAAGGCUAAAUACUCCUCGACGACCGAUAGUGGACAAGUAAGGUGACUGAAAGGUGAAAAGAACCCCUGCAAGGGGAGUUAAAAGAACCUGAAACCAUGUACUUACAAGCGGUGGGAGCCCGAUGUGACUUCGGUCAUCCGGGUGACCGCGUACCUUUUGCAUAAUGGACCGGCGAGUUACCCUUAACGGCCUGGUUAAGCACCUCCGGUGCGUAGCCGUAGCGAAAGCGAGUCUGAACAGGGCGAUCUGUCGUUGGGGGUAGGCCCGAAACCAGGUGAUCUACCCAUGGCCAGGAUGAAGUGCCCGUAAAAGGGCGCGGAGGUCCGAAGCCGUGAACGUUGAAAAGUUCUGGCAUGAGCUGUGGGGAGGAGUAAAAGUCUAAUCAAACCUGGAGAUAUCUGGUUCUCCUCGAAAUGCCUCUAGGGGCAGCCUCGAGCCACUACGCCACGGGGGUAGAGCUACUGAUUGAAACGCGGGGGCCACCAGCCUGCCGCCUUCAUCCAAACUCCGAAUACCGUGGCGACUAUCUCGGGAGUGAGUCCGCGGGGUCAAUCUCCGCGGUCAAAAGGGAAACAACCCUGAUCGUCUGCUAAGGUCCCUAAUUCGUGCUCAGUGCAUAAGGAAGUCUGGUUUCCGAGACAGCGGGGAUGUUGGCUUAGAAGCAGCCACCAUUUAAAAAGUGCGUAAUAGCUUACCCGUCGAGAAACUGGGCGCCGAUAAUGAUCGGGACUAAGCACGGAACCGAAGCAGCGGGCUCGUGAGUUCUUCGGGACGAUCGAGCGGUAGAGGAGCGUUGAUAGGGAGAUACAGGCCAUACCGAAAGGAGUGGUUGCGGCCCUAUCAAGUGAUAAUGCCGGUAUGAGUAACGAGAAAGAGGGUGUAAAUCCCUCUCGCCGUAAGCCUAAGGUUUCCUGGGGAAGGUCAAUCCGCCCAGGGUUAGGCGGAUCCUAAGGCGAGGCCGAAAGGCGUAGUCGAUGGACAGCAGGUUAAUAUUCCUGCCCCGUGUCAUGCGGUUGAUUCGCAUGUGCGUUUUCUCAAGCUGCAGCCCACCACUAGACGAGAGGGUUCCCGCAAGGGCGAGGCCGAUUUGUUGCCGAAGUGCGGAGAGAGAGAGCCGAGAAAAGCAUGCGAGGACAAGUGGCACGUCCGUACUAAAACUGACACAGGUAGGCGAGGCGAGUAGCCUCAGGCGCUCGAGAGAACGGUCCUUAAGGAACUAGGCAAGUUAGCCCCGUAACUUCGGGAAAAGGGGUCCCUACUCCUCGGUAGCAAUACAGUGGAGAGGGCACAGCAAAGCGGCUCUGGCGACUGUUUAUCAAAAACACAGGUCUCUGCCAAGUCCAACAGACAACGUAUAGAGACUGACGCCUGCUCGGUGCGGGAAUGUUAAGGAAGGCGGUCAAGGGGGCAACCCCUGAAGCUGGCAACCGAAGCACCCGUAAACGGCGGCCCUAACUAUGAGGGUCCUAAGGUAGCGAAGUUCCUUGUCGGGUAAGUUCCGACGCGCAUGAAUGGCGUAACGACUGGAGCACUGUCUCAAGGACCGACUCGGUGAAAUUGGAAUUGUGGUGAAGAUACCACAUACCCGCGGCAAGACGGAAAGACCCCGUGAACCUUUACUGUAGCCUGAUAUUGGCCACAGAUAUCGCAUGCGUAGGAUAGGUGGGAGGCGAUGAUCCGGCAGUUCUGGCUGUCGGUUAGCCAACGUUGAAAUACCACCCUUGUGCUAUUUGUAUCCUAACCGCGCUCCGUGAAUCCGGGCGUGGGACAGUGUUAGGUGGGCAGUUUGACUGGGGCGGUCUCCUCCAAAAGAGUAACGGAGGAGCGCAAAGGUCGGCUCAGUGCGGUUGGCAAUCGCACGACGAGUGUAAGGGCAUAAGCCGGCUUAACUGUGAGACCCACAAGUCGAGCAGAUACGAAAGUAGGCCCUAGUGAUCCGGUGAUCCCGUGUGGAAGGGUCAUCGCUCAACGGAUAAAAGGUA